UACGUAGGGUGCAAGCGUUAUUCGGAAUUACUGGGCGUAAAGCGUGCGCAGGCGGUUUUGUAAGUCUGUCGUGAAAUCCCCGGGCUCAACCUGGGAAUUGCAUUUGAGACUGCAAGGCUAGAAUCUGGCGGAGGGGGGUAGAAUUCCACGUGUAGCAGUGAAAUGCGUAGAGAUGUGGAGGAACACCGAUGGCGAAGGCAGCCCCCUGGGUCAAGAUUGACGCUCAUGCACGAAAGCGUGGGGAGCAAACAGG
This 253-nucleotide ribosomal RNA is filed under the name uncultured bacterium. Its description in RNAcentral is "partial 16S ribosomal RNA". It matches the Rfam family "Bacterial small subunit ribosomal RNA", at positions 524 to 776 of the family's 1533-position model. The record is from RNAcentral.